AAGAAAGUGGCAGAGUGGUAUUGUGUUCGACUUGAAAUCGACCUACGGGGGUUCAAUUCCUCCCUUUCUCG
Molecule: transfer RNA, 71 nt
Filed under: Bothus pantherinus (leopard flounder)
Lineage: Eukaryota; Metazoa; Chordata; Actinopteri; Pleuronectiformes; Bothidae
Description: tRNA-Ser
Rfam family: tRNA
About the family: Transfer RNA (tRNA) molecules are approximately 80 nucleotides in length. Their secondary structure includes four short double-helical elements and three loops (D, anti-codon, and T loops). Further hydrogen bonds mediate the characteristic L-shaped molecular structure. tRNAs have two regions of fundamental functional importance: the anti-codon, which is responsible for specific mRNA codon recognition, and the 3' end, to which the tRNAs corresponding amino acid is attached (by aminoacyl-tRNA synthetases). tRNAs cope with the degeneracy of the genetic code in two manners: having more than one tRNA (with a specific anti-codon) for a particular amino acid; and 'wobble' base-pairing, i.e. permitting non-standard base-pairing at the 3rd anti-codon position.
Source: RNAcentral